This 209-nucleotide unclassified non-coding RNA is filed under the name fungal sp. Its description in RNAcentral is "partial internal transcribed spacer region". The stretch from base 1 to 46 matches the Rfam family "Eukaryotic small subunit ribosomal RNA", at positions 1786 to 1831 of the family's 1831-position model. Lineage: Eukaryota; Fungi. The record is from RNAcentral.
AAGUCGUAACAAGGUUUCCGUAGGUGAACCUGCGGAAGGAUCAUCAGUAAAGUCUCGGUGCCCGUAAGGGCAGCGAGACGGCAUAUCCUGUCACCCUGUGCGUACGUAUCGUGGCGUGCCCUUUGGGCGCGCCGGCAUUCACACCACGUGUCUGAAACCAUCGUCACCUGACAACAACACAACUUUCAUCAGUGGAUCUCUGGGCUCUC